This 621-nucleotide ribosomal RNA is filed under the name uncultured bacterium. Its description in RNAcentral is "bacterial SSU rRNA". It matches the Rfam family "Bacterial small subunit ribosomal RNA", at positions 338 to 947 of the family's 1533-position model. The record is from RNAcentral.
CCUACGGGAGGCAGCAGUGGGGAAUUUUGGACAAUGGGGGCAACCCUGAUCCAGCCAUUCCGCGUGAGUGAAGAAGGCCUUCGGGUUGUAAAGCUCUUUCGCAAGGGAAGAAAACUUAUGAUCGAAUAAAUCAUGAGGUUGACGGUACCUUGAUAAGAAGCACCGGCUAACUACGUGCCAGCAGCCGCGGUAAUACGUAGGGUGCGAGCGUUAAUCGGAAUUACUGGGCGUAAAGCGUGCGCAGGCGGUUUUGUAAGUCGGAUGUGAAAUCCCCGGGCUCAACCUGGGAACUGCGUUCGAAACUGCAAGGCUAGAGUGUGUCAGAGGGGGGUAGAAUUCCACGUGUAGCAGUGAAAUGCGUAGAGAUGUGGAGGAAUACCAAUGGCGAAGGCAGCCCCCUGGGAUAACACUGACGCUCAUGCACGAAAGCGUGGGGAGCAAACAGGAUUAGAUACCCUGGUAGUCCACGCCCUAAACGAUGUCAACUAGUUGUUGGUAGAGUAAAAUCUAUGAGUAACGUAGCUAACGCGUGAAGUUGACCGCCUGGGGAGUACGGUCGCAAGAUUAAAACUCAAAUGAAAUUGAACCGGNNGAGAGNGCGAGACGACGACGAGGAGGAGG